RNAcentral lists this unclassified non-coding RNA (1368 nucleotides) under uncultured Neocallimastigales. RNAcentral's name for it is "partial contains internal transcribed spacer 1, 5.8S ribosomal RNA, internal transcribed spacer 2, and large subunit ribosomal RNA". The stretch from base 596 to 1368 matches the Rfam family "Eukaryotic large subunit ribosomal RNA", at positions 1 to 626 of the family's 3401-position model. The record is from RNAcentral. Lineage: Eukaryota; Fungi; Neocallimastigomycota; Neocallimastigomycetes; Neocallimastigales.
AAAAUAAUCCUACCCUUUGUGAAUUUUGUUUGUUUGAAUAAUUUUUUUUUUAAAAAAUUAUUGGAGUCUUUCCCUUUAGAGUUUGCUUUUGAGUUUGUAAAAGAAUUCGAAAACAUCUAAAGGGGAUGGUCAAUAAUUUUUUUUGAAAAAAGACAUUUUUUAAAAUUAAACUUUUUGUAUUCAUUUGUCUAAAAAUUAUUUUUAUAAUAUAAAAACAACUUUUGACAAUGGAUCUCUUGGUUCUCGCAACGAUGAAGAACGCAGCAAAAUGCGAUAAGUAGUGUGAAUUGCAGAAUACGUGAAUCAUCGAAUCUUUGAACGCAUAUUGCACUUUUUUAGUUUACUAAAAAAGUAUGUCUGUUUGAGUAUCAGUAAAAUAUUCUCAUAAAAAUCAUUGUGUAUUUUUAUGGUUAUGAGUGUUUUACAACGAUACAAGUUGUUUCACUUUAAAUUUUUUUUUAAUAUUGAAAUUUUUCUAAUUUUAAUAAUUAAAAUUGGAUAAAAUUUUCCCGUCAAAAGGAAUAACCUAAACAAUUUUAAAUGAUUAAUUUUAGCAAAAUUUUCGUAAAAAAGGAAAAUUUUUAUUAAAAUAACUUGAUCUCAAAUCAGAUAAGAGUACCCGCUGAACUUAAGCAUAUCAAUAAGCGGAGGAAAAGAAACUAACAAGGAUUCCCUUAGUAACGGCGAGUGAAGCGGGAAGAGCUCAAAUUUGAAAUCUUCAAGGUUUUACCUUGACGAAUUGUAGUUUAAAGAAGUGUUUUCUGCUGAAGUUUUGGUAAAAGUUCUUUGGAAUAGGACAUCAUAGAGGGUGAGAAUCCCGUAUUUGACCAUUAUUUUCAGCUUUGUGAUACACUUUCAAAGAGUCGGAUUGUUUGGGAAUGCAGUCCAAAAUGGGUGGUAAAUUUCAUCUAAAGCUAAAUAUUGGCGAGAGACCGAUAGCGAACAAGUACCGUGAGGGAAAGAUGAAAAGAACUUUGAAAAGAGAGUUAAACAGUACGUGAAAUUGUCAAAAGGGAAGCGUUUGACACCAGUGUUGUUUUCUCGAAAAUCAAUUAAAAAUGGCUCGAUUUUGUAUUGCUGAGACCUUAAAAGCUCACUGUACAUUUUUCGUGUCUUUUUUAAUGCACUUUUCGUUUAACAAGUCAACAUCAGUUUCUUUUGUUGUAAAAGGGUCAUUGGAGGUGGCUUUCUUUUCGGAGAAAGUGUUUAUAGCCUUUGGCCUCUGCAAUCGAGAGACUGAGGUCUGCAGCGUAGACUCUUCGGGGUUAGAUACAUUUGUGCUAAGUUAUAGCUUUUUAUAGACAACUUGUUGACUAUAAUUAGUCUUGUAGCUUACUCGCUUAUGCUAUUUUACCUACGCUUAGGAUG